AUGAACUUGAAAGAACUGUACUUUUGCAUCCAUUGGAAAAGGUGUCCAAGACAAGAGAUGGAUCCAAAUAAUAUUGCUACGAGACAUGGGUGCCCUGAAGGAGUGAGGGAUGUGACUCCCUUGGCAAGGAUCCUUCAGACGAAAGGGAGUAUGGUGGACUUUCUCCACGUGGAAGCAGGCUCAGAGAUGGACUGUGAAGCCUCCAAGAAGGAUCCCAGGUGUGAAGAAUGA
This 231-nucleotide long non-coding RNA is filed under the name Sus scrofa (pig). RNAcentral describes it as "lncRNA (ENSSSCG00070028458.1)". Lineage: Eukaryota; Metazoa; Chordata; Mammalia; Artiodactyla; Suidae. The record is from RNAcentral.